Molecule: ribosomal RNA, 810 nt
Filed under: uncultured bacterium
Lineage: Bacteria
Description: bacterial SSU rRNA
Rfam family: Bacterial small subunit ribosomal RNA
Source: RNAcentral
AGAGUUUGAUCCUGGCUCAGGACGAACGCUGGCGGCAUGCCUAAUACAUGCAAGUCGAACGCUGAAGCACUCUGCUUGCAGAGUGCGGAUGAGUGGCGAACGGGUGAGUAACACGUGGGAAAUCUGCCUAGGAGUGGGGGAUAACAUUCGGAAACGGAUGCUAAUACCGCAUAUCUUUUUGAACCGCAUGGUUCUUAAACGAAAGACGGCUUCGGCUGUCGCUCUUAGAUGAUCCCGCGGCGUAUUAGUUAGUUGGUGGGGUAAAGGCCUACCAAGACCAUGAUACGUAGCCGACCUGAGAGGGUGAUCGGCCACACUGGGACUGAGACACGGCCCAGACUCCUACGGGAGGCAGCAGUAGGGAAUCUUCCACAAUGGGUGAAAACCUGAUGGAGCAAUGCCGCGUGAAUGAAGAAGGUCUUCGGAUCGUAAAGUUCUGUUAUUAGAGAAGAACAAGUCAAGGAGUAACUGUCUUGACUUUGACGGUACCUAACCAGAAAGUCACGGCUAACUACGUGCCAGCAGCCGCGGUAAUACGUAGGUGACAAGCGUUGUCCGGAAUUAUUGGGCGUAAAGGGAGUGCAGGCGGUUGGAAUAGUCUGAUGUGAAACCCCCGGCUUACCCGUGGAAGGUCAUUGGAAACUGUCCAACUUGAAUACAGAAGAGGUAAGUGGAAUUCCAGGUGUAGCGGUGAAAUGCGUAAAUAUAUGGGAAGAACACCAGUGGGCGAAGGCGACUUACUUGGUCUGGGAUUGACGCUGAGGGCUCCAAAGCCGGGGGUUAACCAAAAAAGAAUUAAAAAACCCUGGG